GGUUCUGGAGCCCCCGCGCGGGAUCGGUCCUGGGUGUAGACAGACGCUGCUGGCCAGCCCGCCCCAGCCGAGGUUCUUGGCACC
This is a microRNA precursor of Chlorocebus sabaeus (green monkey), 84 nucleotides long. Lineage: Eukaryota; Metazoa; Chordata; Mammalia; Primates; Cercopithecidae. The record is from Ensembl.